This 250-nucleotide unclassified non-coding RNA is filed under the name plant metagenome. Its description in RNAcentral is "partial contains small subunit ribosomal RNA, internal transcribed spacer 1, and 5.8S ribosomal RNA". The record is from RNAcentral.
GUAGGUGAACCUGCGGAAGGAUCAUUAAAAUAUCAGAGUCAAAAUUCAGGCACAUUCUUAUACCAAGUAUAUGACUGGUUUUCUCUGGCCUUACUUUUGUAGUUUCAUAGAAUGUAUUGUGUUCAGGGAUCCACCAUAGAUGACACUCGUUAUUUUCUGGGGAAUACCUGUAUAAUGGCCCGGCGGGUUGAUCGAACGUUAUGUUCUACUGGCAUGUGAAUAUGGCGUUCGCUUAACCUCAUUAUGAUAC